UGUACAAUGACUCUCGGCAACGGAUAUCUCGGCUCUCGCAUCGAUGAAGGACGCAGCA
This 58-nucleotide ribosomal RNA is filed under the name Robinia environmental sample. RNAcentral describes it as "partial 5.8S ribosomal RNA". The stretch from base 9 to 58 matches the Rfam family "5.8S ribosomal RNA", at positions 1 to 50 of the family's 154-position model. Rfam says of the family: 5.8S ribosomal RNA (5.8S rRNA) is a component of the large subunit of the eukaryotic ribosome. The record is from RNAcentral. Lineage: Eukaryota; Viridiplantae; Streptophyta; Magnoliopsida; Fabales; Fabaceae.